GAUGAAGAACGUAGCGAAAUGCGAUACGUAAUGUGAAUUGCAGAAUUCAGUGAAUCAUCGAAUCUUUGAACGCAUAUUGCGCUCUCUGGUAUUCCGGAGAGCAUGCUUGUUUGAGUAUCAGUAAACACCUCAACUUCCAUAUCUUUUUUGAAAUGGGAGUUGGACUUGAGUGAUCCCAACGCUUUUCCUCACCGAAAAGUGGCGGGUUACUUGAAAUGCAGGUGCAGCUGGACUUUUCUCUGAGCUAUAAGCAUAUCUAUUUAGUCUGCCUAAACAGAUUAUUACCUUUGCUGCAGCUAACAUAAAGGAGAUUAGUUCUUGUGCUGACUGAUGCAGGAUUCACAAAGACAGGCUUCGGCCGACUUUGUAAACUCGAUCUCAAAUCAAGUAAGACUACCCGCUGAACUUAAGCAUAUCAAUAAGCGGAGGA
RNAcentral lists this unclassified non-coding RNA (430 nucleotides) under soil metagenome. Its description in RNAcentral is "partial contains 5.8S ribosomal RNA, internal transcribed spacer 2, and large subunit ribosomal RNA". The stretch from base 1 to 120 matches the Rfam family "5.8S ribosomal RNA", at positions 35 to 154 of the family's 154-position model. The record is from RNAcentral.